This is a long non-coding RNA of Mesocricetus auratus (golden hamster), 427 nucleotides long. RefSeq lists it as uncharacterized. NCBI's taxonomy places the organism in Eukaryota, Metazoa, Chordata, Mammalia, Rodentia, Cricetidae. The transcript has 4 exons. The record is from RefSeq and is a predicted model, not a curated record.
UGGGGCUAUAGCUGCAUUGGGUUGCAUCACACAGCCAAAGUUAUCUAGAUUAAAGCCAUGAUUACCUGAAGGUGACAGACACCUCUGUACUCCUCCAGACAAAGGCUUGUGAAGCCCAAAUGAUGUGGUUCCUUUUCACAUACUUUGUUGGAUACCCAGCACCAUGCCUGUGGACCUACAGGUUGCCUAGACAAAACAGACAGCAAGCUGUUCCUGCCUCAUCUGUGAGUGAAACUAUAGGGCAUAUACUAAAGCGGUUUGCUAAAUCCUGACUAUAACUUGUACCUCAACAUCUCUCCUGCCUGGAUGAGUUUUGUGAAACCUGACCAUCCUUCAAGAGUUGCUAUUAUUUAACACUGCAUAUUGUAUGUUAAGGAGCUCUACCCACUGUCAUAGGAACUCAGAAAUAAAGAGCUUAUCAGAUGCA